Betta splendens (Siamese fighting fish) is the source of this 1037-nucleotide long non-coding RNA. RefSeq lists it as uncharacterized. The record is from RefSeq and is a predicted model, not a curated record. The transcript has 3 exons. NCBI's taxonomy places the organism in Eukaryota, Metazoa, Chordata, Actinopteri, Anabantiformes, Osphronemidae.
CAGUGGAGAUCAAUGUUGUAAAUAAAAAAAUAUAUAUAAAGAAAGCAGAGCAUUUUAUGGUUGUAAAUAUAAAAAAUACUAAGCAAUCCUUUUUUUUCUGCUUCUAUCUAGGUCAGAUAGUGUUAUAGUUUCCCAUGUUCUCUGGGUUAUAAUUGCUGCCUAAGAAGUUUGGUCUCUUUGGGUGUGGCAGCAACUGUGAAGCAUGUCGACCUGACACAAUCUGGUCCGUCCAGUCUGUCACUGGCGUUUCCACAUGCGUGAGGUGGCAGCCACCGCCAAACAUGCCUGGGCAGCAGACAUCAUUAAGAAGUCCAACAUGAAACAACAAAACAGUGCAUUCUGUGGAAUCUGAUCUGAUCAGAACACACCAGGGAGGGCUCUGUGAACCUCUAGGUGUCACGUGUCUGGCUAUCCUAUACUCAUCAACAAGCCUGAGCCUAUUCUACCAGAUCACUGUAACCGCCCCCAGCAGUAGACAUAACAUAACAUCUGAAUAGCUUUGUGCAUUUAAGCACCGAGGGGGGUGUCAGCUGUGAGUAGUUUAUUAGAAGACGAGCAAAAAAAGCAGGGAAGAGAACAACUGCUAGUUUGAUUUGCCUCACAAUGUCAUGUGUAUGACUGAUGUUACUGAACAGUUGAGUGAAAAGGUCCCGUGGGACAUAUUUAGUGUAUUAAGGCGCAGACAAAGGUUUCUGCUCCUUUUGCCCUUAAAGGUUGCUGACCAAGCCUCUCCUUCCUAACCAAUCAGAGAAGGCAAAUCGUUUCUGCUUGACAGGCGAGUAUUGCGUCUGUUUUUUUAGUGCAUCUAAAUAAGAGUAAUACCUGAAGGACUGGUUGGGAAAGGAAAGGAGUGGAAUGAUUCUGAGUGGCAUGCAUUUGACUGUCUGUCAGUAAACAUAAUAAUAACACGCGUGGACAACAAAUACUGCAUGCAUGCCUGCUUAACACUGGGAGGUGUAGGUUAACAGAGCACAUAUUUUCGUGUAGCUUAAGUCUCACACCUCCUUUACUACAGCACAGCUGUAGCACAUACACAA